This 416-nucleotide long non-coding RNA is filed under the name Rattus norvegicus (Norway rat). Its description in RNAcentral is "long non-coding RNA NONRATT022798". Lineage: Eukaryota; Metazoa; Chordata; Mammalia; Rodentia; Muridae. The record is from RNAcentral.
AGGACGUCCCUGUGGAGGCCCUCACCACGGUGAAGCCGUACUGCAAUGAGAUCCACGCGCAGGCUCAGCUGUGGCUCAAGCGAGAUCCUAAGGCAUCCUACGAAGCCUGGAAGAAGUGCCUGCCUAUCCGAGGGGUAGAUGGCAACGGGAAAUCCCCCAGCAAGUCCGAGCUCCACCGGCUCUACUUGACUGAGAAGUAUGUGUGGAGGUGGAAACAGUUCCUGAGUCGGCGGGGGAAGAGGACCACCCCACUUGACCUCAAGCUGGGCCACAACAACUGGCUGCGGCAGGUGCAGCCUCUCAACGGGUCCCUUGCAUGUGCCCUCUGCUUUCCAUUCACUGUUCAGUCACUUCCUUUCAAAUAGAAGUCCUUAAGUGUGGCCACCAACAGGGACAGGCCAUCAGAGCUGUCCUCU